UUGCUUUGGCUUUCUUUCCACUUUUUUUCCUUCUCCGAAUCCAAAAGGUGCAACAACCAAAAAAUAAAAAAUAUACACAAAGCUCAUGAGAGAAUAUUUUGGUUUGGUGCAAUGAUAAAGAACCAUUCUGUCAAUCUCCUAACACAGAUGGAUAGCAGAUCCUACAUCCUAGAUGAUUACUGACAUUACAAUAUAUUUUGGAUUGACACGUUACAAUACUCAUUUUGAGAGGGAAAUGGUAACCCAGAGUAUUUUUUCCAACACUACUCGUCAUAACAAUAUCUCAAACACUAAACCUGUACAUCUUUAUUUUUAUUACAAUAAAGAAUAGUGGAAACACCUUUAUUGUAUUGAAAUUAACAAUUGGAAAACAUAACAUUACAUACCUUCCUCUUCCGAUAGAUUAGAGAAUUUUUCAAAUUUCAAUCCUUGAUCUUGUCAGCAGUAGUUUGAGUGUCACACAAAUUCUUUUCCUAUACUAAUCAGAAAGAGAAUAAAGAUAUUAUGCAAUUAUAUAAUUUAUUUGUGCUCUCUGAUAAAAAAUAGAGGGACCAUGAGCACAGAGUUAAAAAGCUAAUGUGCCUUCAAGUUAACUUUAAUCACAAACCUGUGUUUCAUGUAUAAUUUAAAGCUACAACAACAAAUAAUCAACUUACAUCAGGAUGAUUGUGAGGAAUAAUCAAUGGCUCCUUAGGGUUUCUCUUUACGUUUGAUGUUGUUGAUAAUCUAAUUGCAAACUUGGUUCUUGAACUUUGAUGAAGCCAAGAUUUGAAUUUUUUUGGGGCCAUGAAACUACUGAAGGUUGGUCAUUGAUGCCUGGAGUCGUCCUCACUUUCUUCUCACAACAUCUCUUUAGCUUUCUAUUUUUAGUCACUAUCACAUAACGUCUCUAAUUGUUCUUCCCAUAGUCCUUAAAAUUUGCCGAAAAUAAUUGGUUCUAAGUUUUUCUGAUUCUUAACGAAGAGAAUGUUGUCUAUAAGCAUUGAAAAUUAGGGACAAAAGUGUGGUGAAGCCGAUGAAGGUUGCAGGGCAUAGGUUGAAAUCCAAAUCAAAACCUGCCGGAAAUUCUCAUCCUCAGUUUAAGCCAUACAUUCAUUUUAAAUUUGCAAAAUCAUCAUUUUUCCUAUUUAAAGGUGAUUUUUUAGUAGGUACUACUAUCACGUUUCCAUAUUUGUCGCUCUUUUUCUCUUUUUUUAUUUCAAUCAUUCCUUUCCUUUUUGCUUUUGAUGUUCUGGUUAUGGAUUUUAUUAUAUUUAUCCUUUUCAGAACUUGACAUAGAAAACGACUUAAAAAUAUGCUAAGUGGACCUUUUUUCAGUCAUUAAAAAUGUAAGUGAUGCAUCUUUGGGUGUUGGAUAAUAGAUUAAAUUAUAGAAUACCCGGAAAAAGGAAGGGAGAAAAGUACUUUUAGGCAUAACGUCAAACACCUUUGCUACAUCAAUCCCUUUUCAUUACAAGUUUCAUUCCUGAUGGUAAAUUCUAUGUGCUUCCAUAGAAGAGUUUGGACUAACCACAUGCAUGUACAAAAUAUACUAAGAAAGCAUGAAGAAAACAGAAAUAUCAGAUAUAUUGAAGUUAAAUAUUCACAAUUAUACAUGGUGUACUAAGGAUAUUUAAGAAAAUGUUAAGAGAAUUUCAGAGGCAUUAUGAAAAUUGUAAAAUCAUCAUUCUCUAAAAAUAGAACGAACCUGGCAUGCCCAUUAAGAAAACCCAAGGAAAACUAAGAAGUAUUCAACUAUCACAUAUUAAUAGGAAUAGUAAUUUUGAAAUAAGUUCAGAAUCUAAGGCCAAAAGCAGGAGCAAGAAAAAUAAAAUGCACAAGAUGAGUAAGACAGAAAAAUAGUUGUUCAAGAUGGAGAAUUACUUUCUCUCUUGCCUGUUAUCUUCGCCAUUAUCUUCACAUGUGACUAAUUAACUGAAGAGUCAAAGGCACAAAAAUUUCUAGAAUAGCGGUAAAACAUUGAUGGAGAAUGAAUUUUACCAGCAGAUGAUUGAGAAAUGGAAGGAACAGGGUUAAUGGUAGGAGAAGAAUAA
RNAcentral lists this long non-coding RNA (2033 nucleotides) under Nicotiana tabacum (common tobacco). Its description in RNAcentral is "long non-coding RNA (NTAB_LNC005308)". The record is from RNAcentral. Lineage: Eukaryota; Viridiplantae; Streptophyta; Magnoliopsida; Solanales; Solanaceae.